ACCAAUAUGACUAUUUGGUUACAUUUGGCUUUUGUUGCUUAGUUUAUUCUUACAUAGAUGGGCAGCUGGAUGUUAGGGAAAAACAGGGACAGGAAAGAGACUCCAUCCAGUGGCUCUCUGAAGAUUCACCCUUGUUAUCAGUCACUUGGGAUUCUGUUAUCAGAAUUUGGGAUUGCUUGUUAUCACAGCAUUACCUAGUCUACCCUGACUAAUACAAGGGCACUUUGAGAAUCUGAUGGAAGCUCAGGCCACAAGAAAACUGCACAUUCAUGCAAAAUUCAGAACCUUUCAAUUUUAAUGUCUUGAGAUUUCGUUGUGUUUCUAAGAUCCUUGAUGUCCCACAGCCUCCUCUUCUCAGCCUUGGAAUCUGAGGCACCUGGGUUGUAAGUGAUGCUAUGUCAGUGUUCACAAAGGCUCACAAGUCUGCGAAGUGGCCAAGAUGAGCUGACCCUGUCACCAUGGAGCAAGGCCUAUGUGUGCAAAUGAGUCAUGAGCUGAGAGGAAAGAGCUUGAGCCUGAGCUUUUUUUUUUCUUUUCUUUUCUUUUCUUUUUAUGAUGAUUGCUUGAGCCUGAGCUUGUUUGCCAGAUGCUUUCACUAGCCCAAGCUUGUUUUGUGGAUGCUUUCUGCUGCCAGCUACUUUGUAGUCCCUCCUGUGUGACAGCAUCUUGCCAUCAACGGGCUGCAGAAGAAGGGGUGCUUGUUGCUAUUGUGAGCAAACACUGCAUAAACAAUCAGCUCACAUGUGUGUCCCAGAGCGUAUGACCAAUGACCUGGAGAACUCUCAGGCUGUGGGGUGGAGAGAAGGCCAUUCUGAGGUCAACUGAAACCUCACUUGAGGGGCAGUUCCGUAGAUGGGAAUGAGGAGAGAGUCAUGGCCACAGCCACCUGGCCAAGGAGAGAGGCCAUAACUGCCAGACAGAACCAAGGAUGGAGGGACUUCAGCAGCACGAACAAUCCACACUCAGCAUGGGUCACUCUCUGGGACACACAUUUCCCUCUGGCUGAAAGGCUGAGCUGCUCCAGGGCCAACUGUGAGGUCAGACAGCUGCCCAGGGAUGUCUCCAGCCACUCAAGGGAAGAAGAGACCACUCACCUGUAAUUUCAACAGCAACAAAAGACCUGAGGUUCCACCAUCAGAACUUCACGCCCUAAGGAAGAUGCAGCAUUUCCUGUAAAAUGCAAGUGCUCCCAGGCAGAGAGCCAGAAUUGAUUUCGUGGCUUUCUUUCUCCUCUUCUGGGAUUUUGUGCCCUAUUGCCACAGAAACCCUGGGCCCCUUCCCCAGCUGUCAUGAAGGUGCCUGAGUGAUGGUCAGAGAGAUGACCGGAGGGGCCCACCCGGCCACCGCAGCAGCAGCAGCCAAGGCGGGACUAAGCCUCCACACCCCACAUCUCAGUCGUGGCCAGCCCGGGAUGCCUGCCUCUCCUGCCCUGUGGUGUUGCUGUCCUCAUAUGACCCUUCAGUCCCCCGACAUCUGGACAGGCUUUAGGGACCUGCUUGAGCAGAACAUGGUAGAAGUGAUGGACUGGGGCUUCUGAGGCUAAGCCAUAAGAAGCCUUGAGAAUUUCACCUGGCCCUCACUGUCUCUGGGAGCCCUGAGCCAUGAUAGAAGAAGUCCUUCCUAUAUUGAAUGUCCUUGAGACCUCCAGUACUGGAAAGGGCAUUUGUAGAUGCUCAGACCAACAGUCCAAACUGAGCCCAGUCUGCCAACUUGCCCUGCCAAGGUGUCAGAUGCAUAUGUGAAUGAGACCAUCCUAGACCUGCUGAUAGCCCAUCACCCGGCUGACUGCUACUGAGUAACCUCUGCCAACUUCACGCCGAACACAGAACUGCUGAUUUGAACUCUGCCUGAAUUUCUUGGCCCACAGAACAAUGAGAUAUAAUUAAAAGGCAAUGGUUCAAGCCA
This 1905-nucleotide long non-coding RNA is filed under the name Homo sapiens (human). Its description in RNAcentral is "HSALNT0381944". Lineage: Eukaryota; Metazoa; Chordata; Mammalia; Primates; Hominidae. The record is from RNAcentral.